UAUCCUUCAGGGACGUGCAGGCUCUCGUGUAGCCAUGACUGGGAGCAUUUGACCCCCAGCUGCCUCUUCCUUCCUGAAGAGUGAAACCCGUGUCUCCCGAGAAAAGCCUAAGAGAAGCUUGUUAGGUUGCGGGCAUGUUUCGGAUCCAGUCCGGGUCCCCGCCAACUGAAAUCCGUUACCACCUAAUUCUGGCGGAAGGCCGGAGCAACAGAAGCAGGGCGGGGCAGUUACUAGACGUGUUCCGUGGCCGUUUCUGAGGCUGAGAGAGACAUUUUCACUUAGGGGAGACAGUCACUGUGUGAGACCUGCACCAAUCGCAGCUCAGGGGGAAACGGUUAUAAAGCCAGCAUUGCUACCCCAUCAUGAAUCUUUUGUGGCGGAUCCUCCCACAUCUGGGAAUUGGAGAGGAAUACAACCCGUGAUGUUGAAAUGACAUCUCAGAUUUGUCCUGAUACAUGGAGAACAGAAUGCCUUGAAAGGGAACGUUUCCGUGCAUGACACAUUCGAUACAAAUCAGACCUUAGCCCUGCUCGUGCUGCUUACUGCAGAAGGGGAGGUUUAUUGAGCGGGUUGCAGAAGAGACCGUGCUCCGCUCUUUGCAUCGGAACCGCUCCGACAACAGCAAAACCAAGGGCUGCUUUAGGCAAAUCUUCAGCAUUGUAUUGGCACCUCAGGCCUUGAUAGCAAAGUGCUUAGGCAGAGAGGCAAGUCCUGCCGAUGCCAGCAGGAUUUAAAUAGCUCUUCCUUCAACCACAUCUGGUCCAGGAAGAAGGCUGGCUGUUUCCUUUCUUAUCUGCAAUGGAGAUUCUUCUGAGGUGCCUCUGCAGAGACAAGUUGAGGGGCACGGGUUAGGACUUCCUGGUGACUGCUAAGCUGCCUCACCGGGUGCACCUGCCUGAUGACACAGAGCUGCCGCUUUCUCCUGAGGACCCGGAAGCCAUGUGCGGACGCAGAGCCGGAGAGGGUGGCCGUUUUCAGACGGAUGCUGUAAAUAGCGUGGGAGAAGGUCACCUUUUCACAAAAGUGAUCCUGUUUGGUGGGGGUGAUAACCACAGUUCCCUGUAAAGCGCGCGGUGGAGCGGCCAAGCUGGAAGCAAUGAAGACCUGCCCACUUCGUUAGUGGAGCGGUGCAGAGUGCCUGCAGGAAUGAGUUCCCCCGCCUGAGGCGUGAGCCUGUGGAUGGAGGAAAAGGAGGGAAAAGGGAAGCUGUGGGUGGGGGGAGUCGGGUGGGUCGGGAGGCAGAGGAAGAGGCGUUUCUGAGAGUCCAUCUCUCUCUGGCAGCUCCAGCUGCUGUCACUGUACCUGUAGACGCGGUACCUCCUCCUUUCCAGCCAGCCCCAGUAGCUGGCCUGCCCUCUAUGAGUGGGCCUGCAAAUAGAAGCAGCACCCCUCCUCCACUCCCCCUGUCCCUUCCAUUCCCCCUCCGCCCCAGGCAGCCCUCCCAGGUGCUGGGCUGCUCUGAGUAAAAAUGGCACCUACCUGUCCCCUCCACACCUGCCCCCCCAGGUAACUCCGGCUGCCUGGCUGCUGUUCAGAGCACAAGGCAGGAAGCCCCCAUAAACCAGAGAGAGCCGUUCAGAGCUGAGACUGAGACGGUGCUAAAACGCUGGAGCUUGCUGUCCACCCAAGUUCCUCAGACACUGCUUAGGUGCAGAACUAAAAAUCCACGAAGAAAAUAUGCAGAAGGGUUUUGUUCCUCGGUCUUUCCCCAGAGCAGAAUCACGCCAGCUUGGAGGAACGGCAAAGCAAAUCAUCUCGAGAGAUGUAAACAGAACUGGAAUGUUAAAAAAAUCCAGCCUCCUAGGUAAUAGGGAGCAAUACGUGCACAGAGUGUUCACACGUGAGUCCAUUCAAGAACAUUUAGCCAGUGGUUGAAAACAGUUUAAAACAUCUGUCCCAACAGCAAGGGGUGGCGGGUAGGAGAGGCACAGCCUUCCCAAAGUGCCCGUGUGGCCCCACCCAGACUCCGCCCCCAGAGCACCUACUGUAGGUGUACUGGGGGCGGAGUGUUGCUGCCCCUAAGCGCCCUCUCUCCCUGUGCCUCAGGGCCAGGCAGGCUGGGGCCACAUGCUGCCCCGCCCUCUCUGGGGCUGGGAACAUGCAACACCCUACCUCCCCAUGGUGCUCCAGGCAGGGGGAGGGGUUUGGCUCCCAUGGGGAGCAUGGCCUGGGCUGAAGGGGUGGGGCUGGUGGGGAGCUUGGGGCUUGCUUCCCCCACCCUACCUUCACCCAAAGCCCGUGACACCAGCCUAGCCCAAUCCUGGCCAGCUCAGGCCCCAAUGCCGUCAACACUACUUCCCUGGCAAAGACAACAGGAGGAGACCCCUUUUUCAUCAGAUGCCAACUGGCCACUGACAAUUUUGCAGUAUUAAUUUUCUUUGUAUUUGAUUUCCAAUUAAAUCACAUUUAUAGUCACGCAUCUUGUUAAUUAUCCCUUGUUUCGGUAUUCUUUCUUCUCCCGUAACAUUUUACACGGAGAUGAUUUUUGUUCGUAAGUAGCAGGCGCCAGACAUCCGAACAAGCACACGUGACCUCAACAUUGGCGCAGGUGACAGAACUCGCGCCACGCAUGGAUGGAAAAACGGAGAGGGAACGCUGGUAAUAACUUCCCCCGUAUCUGUCCAUAGUACACACCAGCCAAUAGCUUUCCUGCGAGAUGAUGGAUUUGAGAUAGGAACAGGGUUUGCCCAAGACACCCUCGCCUUGUGCGCUGGGUUUGGGAAUUGAGUGGAUACGAGGAGGUUGGAGGAGGUAGGCUUCCUGGGUAGUUAGUGUGGGGGCUGCGCCAUCCUGAGGGUGAAAUGAAAAAGCGGGUGGGAAGGCCUGCGCUGAACAUCUUCAUUUUGUUUUUCACAAAGCCCAACCCCUGGCGGUCAGGCGGGAGGUGAGCUUUGCGCCCUGUGUUUGCAGAGUAUAUGAGGAAUAGCGCCUGCUACCAGGGAUGUCACAGGACACGGACAGUGGCCGGAGCUGGAGUAAGCCAGCCCUUUGAACCGCCAGUGGUGUCCUGCCGAGGUGCCUUUAACCAUUAAUGUCCUUCAUGCCCUUCUAAGCCUAGCCUAGCCCUUCCCUGCUCCAAAGCUUGCAGUCAGGGCGCAUUUCUGAUGAUGUGGAUUAACGAGCCCUAGGGAUUAGGGUUCGAUCCUCAGCAUGGCUUAUGGGAAAACUGGGUCACUAGAGGCUGGAAUAACGAGUCCUCUGAGAAUAUUUUAUCAGGAACCAGAAGAUAAUUGGGAAGUGUUUAAUAGUAUUACAGCCUGGAAAUAGCUCCAUUACACUUGGCCAUUAGUAAAACUGAGAAUAGCAAGAGCCUGGAGAUUAACUGCGGGAUAAUUCAUCUCACUGAACUUGAGGGGUAACUUCAUUUGGCUGCGUGGUUGGACACCAGCGUGAGCAAAAGCACCAUGGGGCCCUGAGCUCUUAAAUCUUUCUGACCCAGGAUCAAUAGCUCUCUGGACAUGCUCCAGCCUGCCUGUAAUAUCUGUGAAUCACCAUCGCUGCUCUGUCAUGCAACUAAUCAGUGCCUGUGA
Molecule: non-coding RNA, 3530 nt
Organism: Pelodiscus sinensis (Chinese soft-shelled turtle)
Lineage: Eukaryota; Metazoa; Chordata; Testudines; Trionychidae
Source: RefSeq, a predicted model, not a curated record